GACGAACGCUGGCGGCGUGCUUAACACAUGCAAGUGGAGCGACGAACCAGGGCUUGCCCUGGGGCAAAGCCGCGAACGGGUGAGUAACACGUGGGUAACCUGCCCUGAUGAUUGGGACAACCCGAGGAAACUCGGGCUAAUACCAAAUGUGCUCUUCGACCUUAAGGUCGUCGAGGAAAGGAAGCUUCGGCCUCCGCAUCGGGAUGGGCCCGCGGCCCAUUAGCUUGUUGGUGGGGUAACGGCCUACCAAGGCGACGAUGGGUAGCUGGUCUGAGAG
Molecule: ribosomal RNA, 277 nt
Filed under: uncultured bacterium
Lineage: Bacteria
Description: partial 16S ribosomal RNA
Rfam family: Bacterial small subunit ribosomal RNA
Source: RNAcentral